This 352-nucleotide unclassified non-coding RNA is filed under the name soil metagenome. Its description in RNAcentral is "partial contains 5.8S ribosomal RNA, internal transcribed spacer 2, and large subunit ribosomal RNA". The stretch from base 1 to 120 matches the Rfam family "5.8S ribosomal RNA", at positions 35 to 154 of the family's 154-position model. The record is from RNAcentral.
GAUGAAGAACGUAGCGAAAUGCGAUAAGUAGUGUGAAUUGCAGAAUUCAGUGAAUCAUCGAAUCUUUGAACGCACAUUGCGCCCGCCAGUAUUCUGGCGGGCAUGCCUGUCCGAGCGUCAUUUCAACCCUCGAACCCCUCCGGGGGGUCGGCGUUGGGGAUCGGCCCUUUCACCGGGUGCCGGCCCCUAAAUACAGUGGCGGUCUCGCCGCAGCCUCUCAUGCGCAGUAGUUUGCACACUCGCACCGGGAGCGCGGCGCGUCCACGUCCGUAAAACACCCCAACUUCUGAAAUGUUGACCUCGGAUCAGGUAGGAAUACCCGCUGAACUUAAGCAUAUCAAUAAGCGGAGGA